GGUAAAGUGGCUGAGUUAGGCGGUAGAUUGUAAAUUUACUAACAAAAUUAAUAUUUUCUUUACCA
This 65-nucleotide transfer RNA is filed under the name Trichoferus campestris. RNAcentral describes it as "tRNA-Tyr". It matches the Rfam family "tRNA". From Rfam's summary of the family: Transfer RNA (tRNA) molecules are approximately 80 nucleotides in length. Lineage: Eukaryota; Metazoa; Arthropoda; Insecta; Coleoptera; Cerambycidae. The record is from RNAcentral.